RNAcentral lists this ribosomal RNA (465 nucleotides) under uncultured bacterium. RNAcentral's name for it is "partial 16S ribosomal RNA". It matches the Rfam family "Bacterial small subunit ribosomal RNA", at positions 339 to 795 of the family's 1533-position model. The record is from RNAcentral.
CUACGGGUGGCAGCAGUGGGGAAUAUUGCACAAUGGGCGCAAGCCUGAUGCAGCCAUGCCGCGUGUAUGAAGAAGGCCUUCGGGUUGUAAAGUACUUUCAGCGGGGAGGAAGGGAGUAAAGUUAAUACCUUUGCUCAUUGACGUUACCCGCAGAAAAAGCACCGGCUAACUCCGUGCCAGGCAGCCGCGGUAAUACGGAGGGUGCAAGCGUUAAUCGGAAUUACUGGGCGUAAAGCGCACGCAGGCGGUUUGUUAAGUCAGAUGUGAAAUCCCCGGGCUCAACCUGGGAACUGCAUCUGAUACUGGCAAGCUUGAGUCUCGUAGAGGGGGGUAGAAUUCCAGGUGUAGCGGUGAAAUGCGUAGAGAUCUGGAGGAAUACCGGUGGCGAAGGCGGCCCCCUGGACGAAGACUGACGCUCAGGUGCGAAAGCGUGGGGAGCAAACAGGAUUAGAUACCCCCGUAGUC